Thermocrinis minervae is the source of this 96-nucleotide transfer RNA. It matches the Rfam family "Selenocysteine transfer RNA". The record is from Rfam. Lineage: Bacteria; Pseudomonadati; Aquificota; Aquificia; Aquificales; Aquificaceae.
GGGAGAGUAUGGCGGACUGGUGUCGCCCCGGGACUUCAAAUCCCGUGGAGGGUAGCUCUGGCUACUCCUCGGAGGGUUCGAUUCCCUCACUCUCCC